RNAcentral lists this ribosomal RNA (397 nucleotides) under uncultured bacterium. RNAcentral's name for it is "bacterial SSU rRNA". It matches the Rfam family "Bacterial small subunit ribosomal RNA", at positions 28 to 418 of the family's 1533-position model. The record is from RNAcentral.
GACGAACGCUGGCGGCGCGCUUAACACAUGCAAGUCGAGCGAGAACCGGGGCUUCGGCCCCGGGGACAGCGGCGAACGGGUGAGUAACACGUGGGUAAUCUGCCCUCGGUUCUGGGAUAGCCCGGGGAAACCCGGAUUAAUACCGGAUAGCCUCUCGAGUCCUCGGACUCGUGAGAAAAGGUAGCUUCGGCCUCCGACCGAGGAGGAGCCUGCGGCGGAUUAGCUUGUUGGCGGGGUAACGGCCCACCAAGGCGACGAUCCGUAGCUGGUCUGAGAGGACGAUCAGCCACACUGGGACUGAGACACGGCCCAGACUCCUACGGGAGGCAGCAGUGGGGAAUCUUGCGCAAUGGGCGAAAGCCUGACGCAGCGACGCCGCGUGAGGGAAGAAGGCCUU